UUGGGUGGUGGUGCAAGGCCGUUCUUAGUUCGGUGGAGCGAUUUGUCUGGUUAAUUCCGAUAACGAACGAGACUCUAGCCUGCUAACUAGCUGGUGGAUCACUGUUUUUGAUGCGACAAACCAGAUUUAAGCCUUCGGUUUUGGACUGGAUAGAUGCGUCCACCGCGUCUUCUUAAAGGGACAGGCGACUCUUAGUCGCACGAGACGUGAGCAUGUAACAAGUCUGUGAUGCCCUUAGAUGUCCUGGGCCGCACGCGCGCUACACUGGAGGAAUCAGCGUGCACUCCCUGCCCGAGAGGGCCGGGUAACCCGCUGAAAUUCCUUCGUGAUUGGGAUCGGGGUUUGCAACUAUCCCCCGUGAACGAAGGAAUUCCCAGUAAGCGCGAGUCAUGAGCUCGCGUUGAUUACGUCCCUGCCCUUUGUACACACCGCCCGUCGAUACUACCGAUUGAAUGAUUUAGUGAGGCCUUUGGACUGGCUCGCCGGUGUGCGUCGCCUUCGGGUUGGCGUCACGCUGGUUAAUCGGGCCGGGAAGCUGGCCAAACUUGACCAUUUAGAGGAAGUAAAAGUCGUACCAGGGUUCCCGUCGU
RNAcentral lists this ribosomal RNA (590 nucleotides) under Vargula sp. QY-2003. RNAcentral's name for it is "SSU rRNA". It matches the Rfam family "Eukaryotic small subunit ribosomal RNA", at positions 1270 to 1809 of the family's 1831-position model. Lineage: Eukaryota; Metazoa; Arthropoda; Ostracoda; Myodocopida; Cypridinidae. The record is from RNAcentral.